CCCCGCCGUCCGGGGUGCGGGCCGCCGUUCGCACUGGUGGUGUGGGUUGCCGUUCGCACCGGCGGUACGGGCCGCCGUUCGUCGGCGCCGGGCGAGGC
Molecule: transfer RNA, 98 nt
Filed under: Streptomyces violaceusniger
Lineage: Bacteria; Bacillati; Actinomycetota; Actinomycetes; Kitasatosporales; Streptomycetaceae
Description: tRNA-Thr
Source: RNAcentral